UUGUCUUUCCAGGGUUGUUUGUAUUGGAGAGGCUACUGAUUGUGCACACACAUGACCCGGGGCUCCAGGGCAGACACUCCCGCUCCAGAUUCUCGGUAAUCCGGGCAGAGAGCUGCUGAUCAAGCAACAGCGGGGGCCGCACACACAAAGCUUCCUGCUGAGUUGCCAUGGUUUGUGUCCCCGUACCCUGAAGGGGCAGUUUUCAGUCUAAGAGGUCGUGCUUAGAGCCCGUCAUCAACACUGAGGACUGAGUGGGGUGAAAAUGGGGGUGCUGCCCUAACUUUUAAGAUAAGAAGGAUGCUUCCUUUACUCCACACUCCAGCCUGGGGCCAAGGUUUCCCAGCAGAUGAGACAAAAGAAAAUCCUGCUCUCUUGGACCUGGCAUUUUAAUGGAGAGGAACAGAGCAGAUCUGGUUCCUGAGCCCGAGAGCUGCACGUCUGAGUGCCUAAUGAACAUAUCUAAACCUGAUCUUCCACAUCCUGCUGCUCCGUCAGAAAACAUCUUCCUCGCUUGCACCCACACGACACCCCACAUCCAGUCACCAAGCUCUGCCGACCUUGCCUCCUGGGCAGAAUGCAAUUCCCGACAUUGGUUGUACGCCCCCUGCUCCUCCUCGGUCCUGGCCGUCAUUUCUCGACUUGGCUUCUUCCAACCCUUCACUGCCUUCCUAUCCAUUGUGCACGCUGCAGCCAGAGCAACAUUUCAAACAAACAAAUCUGAUCAUCUCAUUAAUCCGUCUAAAGUCUGUCAGUGGCUUCCCAUGGCCCAGGAAAAAGUUCAAAUUCUUUAAUGUGGUGUGGCUGACAAAGUCCCUCUCUUUUUCUCUCUCUCUCACGGAUGUGUGUAUGCCUGCUUGCGUGACUGUGCACACACCUGAGCCUACACAUUUGCUGCUUUCUCUUUCCAGAAUGUUCCCCCCAUCACCUUGCUCUCUUCUACUGGGGUCCUCCGGUUCCUCCUGUGAGUUCAGCUGCUUGUGUUGCCGGCAGGUUAUGGGCCUCACACUUGGCUGUGAGCAUCUGCUUGUUUUGGUGUUCCCUCGACUGUGCCUGACACAGGGGAAUUAGAGAAUGCCGGCCGGGGGUCCCACCCCUUGGUUCGAUCCUGCUUCUGCCACUUCCUUGGGCCGUUACCUAACUUUUCUUAAGCUGUGUGGGCAUCUGUAGAAUGGGGAUCAUGGUGAACUUAACCUCCUAGAUUGUUAUAAGACAUGUGACAUGCCCAGAAGUGCAUCUCUGUUCCUGCUGUGACUUGCAUGGUGACUCUCACUCUUCUGGUCUCGGCUUAAUGAGGCUCUCCGGUUGUCCUUGAGAUGCCCUCUGUUUUCAUGGCUCCCACAGGUGCCCUGCACACAUGCACCCCCUCUCUGGAAGUCAUUCAUAGAUUAUUGCUAGUGUGUGGUAACAUUAAUUGUCUGCUGGUGUGUGAGUGCCUGGGGGUGGAGGGGAAGACCAAUCUCUUGUUUCCUACGAAUUCCUGGUGUUUGAUACAGAACAUGGGACCAUGUAGUUUGGUACACGUGGAGGUCAAUAAAAAAGGAGAAGCUGUGGAAUGCAUGGGACAGAUGCAGGACUUGGCUAAUCUGACUUGAGAGUCAUGGGACCCUGUAACACCUGAGCAGGAUACUCCACAUCUGGAAACGCACUCUGUCAUUCUGUAGCAGAGAAGAGCUUCCACAAAUGUAUUUCUAUAUGGGUUUAAAAAAAAAAAUGCUUGUUUUCCAGCCGUGUUUCUAACUUAGAGACUGUUAGAACAUGUGACUGGAUGUCCAAAUGGUGGACCCACCUUUGCCAGCCGGGGGGUAGAGGGCUUUAGAGCUGAACCAGAGGAACCCCACACGCUCCUCAGUCUGCAGUGUCUCUCCACUUUGGGAGGCUCCUCUUUUAAGGGGCAGUGUUAUCUACUUAUCGAUGCCCCCCACCCCAACCUGUCCCGGGAGCAGCCAGUGCUCCUUCAUGUCGCUGUGCCCUGAGGCCCACGUCCAAGUUGGGGGUGACCCCAGCUCACGCAGCCAUUUGGCUCCUUUAAGAGCUGGGACAGGUUCCCAGAGCCCUGCAGCUCCUCCGCAGCCAGGAGCAGAGACCAGCUGUCGGCACCGCCCCGCCCCCCCAACGUCUCUGUGUUUACAUGCACGGUCACAUGGUAACCUCUCCCAGCUCGUGGGCUGGCUGCACAGUUACCUCAUCUGCAGUCCAAUGACCUCAUCCACGUAAAAUGUGGCAAGUGCGAGACAGGAGCAGAAAGGGCCCAGCUUCUCACUCAGAGCCCCCAGGAGAAGCUGUCCUCCGCACUGGCUCAGGAAAUCAGCCAGAGAGCUGUCCACUCGGUAAUUACUCCCGGCCA
Long non-coding RNA from Acinonyx jubatus (cheetah), 2344 nucleotides. RefSeq lists it as uncharacterized. The record is from RefSeq and is a predicted model, not a curated record. The transcript is spliced from 4 exons. Lineage: Eukaryota; Metazoa; Chordata; Mammalia; Carnivora; Felidae.